Molecule: long non-coding RNA, 2227 nt
Organism: Physeter macrocephalus (sperm whale)
Lineage: Eukaryota; Metazoa; Chordata; Mammalia; Artiodactyla; Physeteridae
Exons: 5
Source: RefSeq, a predicted model, not a curated record
GCGUAAGCCGACGGCGUACAGGAGCAGUGCGGCUACGCGUGUCACGCUCUCUACCCGCCCGUCUACUUCCUGGACUUUGCGCUCUUCUACGCGCUGCCCCUGGGCCUGGCCACCGUGUCCUAUGCACUCAUAGCACGCGUCCUCUUCGCGGGGCCGCUGCCUCCUGGUGACUGGGGACGAUCGGGCUCUGUGCACCGGGGCGGCCCCGCUGGCCCAGGGCGCUUCUCCUCCCGCGGCAGGAGGGGUGACCUCAACUCCCGAAAGCAGGUAGGGACGUCCCUCCUCAUUCGGACCCCUGUACCGAGCCAGCAGCAGAUUGGUGGAUGGAAGCUUGGGCCCUCCUAGAGUCAAGCUCAAGUUCAAGUCCAGGUGGUGCCACUUACUCGGCUUGUUGGCGACAUCACUUCUGAGCGUUUCUGAGCCUCCGUUGCCCCUCCUGUUGUAUGAGGAUUUGAAGGCCAAGACAGAAUUCCUGAAAGGAGCAUAUUCAAGAGUUACUGAACCAGAGUUUUCCUCUCCAGGGUGAGCAGAAUCUGGGUGAUCAUACCACAUUCAAAGACCAUUGAUUAUUGUGACUAAGCAAAGCCUCAGUUCAACUUUCAGAAGAAAGAUAGAUUGGUUUCAUUCAAGGACCUGACUGCGGACUUCACCCAGGAGGAGUGGCGGCACCUGGACCGUGCUCAGAGGCUCCUGUAGAGGGAUGUGAUGCUGGAGGACUACAGCAACCGCAUCUCCGUGGGGUAUCAACGUUAGCAAACCAGAUGUGAUCUUCAGACUGGAGCAAGGAGAAGAACCAUGGACGGUAGAGGAAUUCUCAAGUCAGAACUACUCAGAGUAUAGGCUCAGGAAUUGCGGCGCACGGGCUUGGUUGCUCCGCGGCAUGCGGGAUCUUCCCAGAGCAGGACUCAAACCCUUGUGCCCUACACUGGCAGGCGGAUUCUUAACCACUGCGCCACCAGGGAAGUCUCCAUAGGUCAGUCUUAAAAAAAUAAAUCUUGCUUGAUUUACACAAUCUAUUUGCAAAUCUAGUUGCAUUCCACGUUUCUCUCCAUCCUUUAACUGAGAGAUCAGUUUCACUCUCCACGCUCAGCCCCACUGGAGGGGGACUAGGGUGAGACAACCAAGGUGCCUCAGAUACAAAACUUAAGAAGACACUCACUCUUGGGGUGGUGCAGGUGCCCUAGAGGUCACGCCUACCUCACCCUAGUUCCAGCCCUGCUCAGCCCACAAUCUUUCUUUCUCUUCUUUGUAUUUGUGCAAAUUCUGAAGUUCCCAUGUCACUGGCAAAAUUUGAGACCCACCCCUUCCUUCUGUGUCUCUUUGUAACUCUGACCGUCUCUCUGAAGUCUGUGUCUCCUGGUCUCACUGUCUCUGAGUGCUUCUUUGAGUCUCAUCUGUCUUAUUCAAUACUGUGUCAGACACACUUGCAGUAUACUUUGUGCUUACUGUUCCUUGUGACUGUUUUCCUUUUUCCCAUGGCAGAGGUACUCGUAUUCUUUGCUACUUUCCUCUUCCUUUCAUCCUGUUAAACAGGCUGGUGUGGGUGGGCUGGCUUUUUUUCUAUUGUUUGUUUUUUUCUUUCCCCCAAAUCAGUAGGAGAUGUUUGUAUUUGACAUUUCCUUAAUCCUGAAGAGCUGGGCCAGUCCACCACAGCAAGGCAUUUGUAAGGAACUCUCAUUUCACAGCAAGUGUGUCACGGAUCACAAGUUAUUAUUAAUGGUACUCCCUCCUAGAAGCUGAUGAUGCCUUAAAGGAGGACAAGGAAAUCCAAGGCAAACAUUUGAGGCAAAUUGUAUUCUUCUGCAAUAAAACACUGAUUACAGAGAGAGCAACUGUAUUUGGGAAAACAUUGAAUCUGGGCAUGAAUAUUGUUCCCUCAAGAAAAACACCCUACAGAUAUCCAUGUGGAAACAAUUUGAAAACUAAUUCAGAAGUAAUCGUUGCAAAGAAAAGCUACUUUAAAAAGGUUCCUGGUGAAUACAGUAGAUGUGGGAAAACACAACUCGUUUCUAAGCAAGAGAAAAGUCGUUCUGGAAUGAAACAAUACAAAUAUAAUCCAGUUAGGAAAGCCAGAAGUCAAAAUGAAGAUUUUAUUCUGCACCAGAACAUUCAGGCUUUGAAGCAACCUUUUGGCUGUGGCAAAUGUGGGAAAACCUCUUCAAGAGGGCAGUCCUCUUCACACAGAAGAGGAUACAUUCUGAAAGGAAACCAAAUUAAUGUAAUGAAU